Molecule: unclassified non-coding RNA, 316 nt
Filed under: uncultured Tomentella
Lineage: Eukaryota; Fungi; Basidiomycota; Agaricomycetes; Thelephorales; Thelephoraceae
Description: sequence contains 5.8S rRNA gene
Source: RNAcentral
GAACGCACCUUGCGCCCUUUGGCUAUUCCGAAGGGCAUGCCUGUUUGAGUAUCAUGAACACCUCAACUCUCAUGGUUUGCCAUGAUGAGCUUGGACUUUGGGGGUCUUGCUGGCAUACAGUCGGCUCCCCUUAAAUGAAUCAGCUUGCCAGUGUUUGGUGGGAUCACAGGUGUGAUAACUAUCUACGCUUGUGGCUUUCCGCCAAGUAACCUUCAGUGAUGGAGGUUCGCUGGGGCUCACAAACGUCUCUCCUCAGCGAGGACAGCUUUUUGAACGUUUGAUCUCAAAUCAGGUAGGGCUACCCGCUGAACUUAAG